Molecule: ribosomal RNA, 292 nt
Filed under: uncultured bacterium
Lineage: Bacteria
Description: partial 16S ribosomal RNA
Source: RNAcentral
GGACUACCAGGGUAUCUAAUCCUGUUUGCUCCCCACGCUUUCGCGUCUCAGCGUCAGUCAUCGUCCAGAUAGCCGCCUUCGCCACCGGUGUUCCUCUCGAUAUCUACGAAUUUCACCUCUACACCGAGAAUUCCACUAUCCUCUCCGAGACUCUAGUCAUGCAGUUUCGAGUGCACUUCCCCGGUUGAGCCGAGGGCUUUCACACCCGACUUGCACGACCGCCUACACGCGCUUUACGCCCAGUAAUUCCGAACAACGUUUGCACCCUCUGUCUUACCGCGGCGGCUGGCAC